Molecule: long non-coding RNA, 4061 nt
Organism: Acanthopagrus latus (yellowfin seabream)
Lineage: Eukaryota; Metazoa; Chordata; Actinopteri; Spariformes; Sparidae
Exons: 2
Source: RefSeq, a predicted model, not a curated record
AUAGAAGAAAUGGUGUUCAAAUAUUAGUUUACAUCCAUGAAAGUCAGGAAUAAGAUACAUUAAAGGAAAUUAUACAUAUUUAAAUACAUGUAUAUAUUGUAAACUAUGAGUUGAAUUAUUAUUUUGGGGGAUUAUUGGAAGUUUUUCAAAUCUAAUCAUUGAUACAUUAAUUAAAUUAGAAUACACCAGAGUGGCUCUAAUGCAGCUCAACACUCCACUGUACUCUGGCUGUAAAUGUACUCAGUUACAUCCCAUCGCUGCUCAGCAGUGUCCUGUUGACAAUAAAUCAUUAUUUUAAAAAAAAUGUGCUGCUUUGGCUCUGAGGCAGCAUUCAAUCUGCAAAGUAACUAUAAACCCAAACUAUCAAGUAAAUAUAAUAGAGUAAGAAUACAAUACUUCAAAAUGUAGUGCAGUGGAAGAAGAAAGUAGCAGAAAUGGAAAUUACUCAAGUACAACCUCAAAAACAUAUAAUCAUCAACCAUUGUCUAGAGGAUGUAACUACAUAUUUAUAACUUAUUUUAAGUGUUAACCUCAUGCACACGUUUAAAUCAGUUACAUAAUGUCCAUCAUCUGGUUGCAAGAGACAAUGGGACAAUAUUUGCAUCCGUGGAAGUGGGAGGUCGCGGUAAAUGGAAAUACUCAAGUAAAGUGCAAGUACCUCAGUUUGUAAAUGUACCAAAUUACAUUUCAUCACUGUGGUCAGAUGUUAAAAUAGGCAUUUGACAUCAUAAAAAACAUAUGAAAGCAAUUUAUGAUUGAUUAAUGACAAAUGAGGAAAUAUGUUCUUGAACAUGUAACUCGAUAUUUUAAUUUAUUUCACAUAUUCAUUCUUUAAAUCAGUUUCAUGCUUCACAUGUCGUCUGUCCAUCAUCCGGCUGCUUCACACAGGAGGUCUGAAAUCAAAUCAACCCUCAAGGACAAUAACUGGGGCUGAUUCUCUCUCUAUGACUGAGCGAGGCGAAAGUUUACGAGGAGCACCUGAACGCAGCAGCGUGUUGUGACCGACAGAGUCCAGUAGAGGGCGACAAAUCUCCACCUAUCUGCCUCGUGUGGCGCGCGUGUGUGUCCACAAAGUUGAGAGAAAACUAGAAAACAAACUUUGCGUGUAUUAUUAACACGAUAAAGACCACACACACACACACACACACACACACACACACACACACACACACACACACAGUUGCUCCUACAGGCCACCGGUUCCGCCCAGGCUUUGUGUUUCUGCGCAGGUGCCCAAAAUGAUUGUGCGAAAAUGUGAAAUUUGAUCAGCGGACCAAAACAUCAUUAAGUCCCCGCUGUUCCCGGUGAUUACAGGUCACCUCCUCUGCGCGUGCUCGCCCCCCUCACGCACGCGCAGCACACCUGACGCCCCUCCCCCCCACUUAAUUGUAUUGAUCAAUAAUUGGGUUAUUCUGAAAAUUGCGCUCAGACACGGAAACCUUUCCGGGGACGCAUCACAGUAAUUACGCGUGUCAGCUGAGAAACGCUUUUUACAUCUGCGAGCCGGAUGGAGCGGAAUAUUAACGAGUCCACGCUGGAUGCAUUAAUUGUUGGAGGGCGUGCAGACACUCAAGAGUUCCGGGUCCAGACUGCAGAUGAUCAAGACGUUUAACCAGGAGAGAGUGAGGAAGAGGAGGAGGAGGAGGAAGAAAGAAAAAGGCCAAGUAACUUUUCACCCACCGGCUGACUGACAGUCUUCACAUGUUGGCCUCCACUCCACAGACUGCCACUGUUUUACAGCAGCUUGGAUGUUUCACAGCAUUUGGCUGCAUAUUUUUGAGCCCCUGGAUGCAAGAAGAAGAUCAAAUUUGUGUCCUUCGUGCAUCCAGUUCGAACCUGGAGUCAAAAGUCAAAUAUUAACCACAGGUGUAACUGUCACUCAGUGGGCAGAGCAGCGUCCUCUUCUCUCUCUGGUCCAGUUUCCUGUCAUCACUCAAUGCUGUCUCGUCAAUGAAGCCAUGAAAAGGCCCCAAAAUACAUUAAAUAAACCAGUAAAGUCCCAUUAAAACCAGUUAACUCCAGUCUGUAAAUGCUGAGGUCACAUCGUCUGUGUUGUUCCCGUGAAUAUUCACUGAUAGAGUGCUGAAAAUCUGUCCUCUGAAACUGAAAUAUUACACUAUUACAAGUAAAACUGCUGGGAUUAAAGGUGCACUACGUAGUGUUUGGGGAAGACAUUUCACUGAGAAGAGAAAGAUCUUAAUUGUCUUUUUUAUGCCUUAAACAAACUGACCUUAAAGGACAGUUUCAUAUUGUGGUACUUUGUUUAUAUGUGGCGGACCCUGCCACCUCUUUAGCUUCAAACAGCGAUCUGGGACCUUAUUUUCCUUGUCAAUUCAGUUUUAGAAGAAAAUGUAGUAUUUCUUAAUUUGUUUUAUUAUCUCAUUAAUAAUUUGAUAUUAAGUUAUUCUCCAAAGCGACAUAGUUUACGUUUUUAAAAUGAUACAUAAGUGAAAGUAGAAAGUAAUCUUCUCAAAGUGGUUGUACUAGUUAAUGCGUGGACAGACUUUAAAGAUAACAGUUAACAGAUAGUUUAACUAAAUACUUCACUGUCUAAAUGACGUGACAUUAAAAACUGUGCGUCCUGCAGCAGCUCUGUCCUGUUCCUGAAUGUGACUCAGUGUUUGAGCUGCGUCUGCUCUGAGCUCUUUCCUCCGUUGUGCCACUGAAAGGCACUGUUGACCACAGCAGAGCCGCUGGGUAACAUCCGGAUGAAGACGUCGCCGCGUCGUGUCGUGCAAACCUCCUGAGCUGUGUGUGAAGGUGGAGCACGGGUUCAACGUGGAGCCCGGGUUUUCAAUAACUACGACACUACGACACGCUGCUCUGGAAUGUCUGACUCUAUAUUUCGAAGAGACACUGAAGUGUAGUUUUUGUUUUCAAUGAACGGGGAUAAGAAAAGGAAAAACAUGUCUGAGCUCACACUUUGAAAUAACUCCUAGCUUUACUAUAAGGUGCUCAGUAUUUACUACAUUUAUUGUAAAGAUGCAAUUGUUCCCCUCAAAAAGAGCAGAAAAGUAGCAGAUCAUGAUGUAAAACUCAACAUCUGUGUCCAAAAUCUGAAUUUAUGUCUCGCUAUCAAGUAAACUGUGGAGUUUCUCUGAUAAAGCGAGCAGUGAAGGAGGGAUUUUGGGUGCAGCUUGUUUAUUUUUGUCAUAUUUUCCUCCAGUUUUUGUUCAUUCAUGUAAAUCAUUGUGCAGUUUCUCUCUAAAAACAGAACAAACAGUCUUGUAUUGAAGCGGUUCUACGGGUCAGAGGACACAAAAGGUUCUGAUCGUUCUGGUGAUGUGAUUAUAAAGCUGACUCAUGUAUUUUACGUCCUUUUCCCCCCACAUCUUGUUUGUUUGUCACGUUCGUACCUUUUAAAUCUUUUUUUUUUGUUGGUAAAAUCGCUCCACAGUGAAGCGAUAACGGACCCAAAUGAGCAGGUUUUGUUUUUGGCAUUUUUUCAUUAUCGGGUUCAUAAAAUAACUCGGUCAACUUUCCGCUGGAAACAUGACGGCACGUUAAAUCUGACGACAACCACAAAAAAUAAAAAAGAGAGAGAGAGAAAAGGGUUGUUUUUGUAAAUUUGAAUUUAAUAUGGGCUACAGGUAUUGGAUUUUGUGUCUGCUGGCAGGGAGCCACACACAAUAGCAGGCACAGGUGUUGACCAGGAAAAACAAAAAAAAAAAAGAAUUAAAUAAGGCGAGAAGCAGAAAGUGAUUUGAAUUAUCAUCGUUGAAUCUAUUUGGCAUCUCUGCAGCGGAGAGAGCUUUAAAUUAGAGCUGUAAAGUUUUCUGUACAGUUGAUGCGUGGACAAAAAAAUAAAAAAAGUACGUUUCUUUCUUUAUUUUUUUUUCCUUCUCUCUGCUGGAGGUUUAACAAAACUCUUGAUUUCAAAAAAACUGUUGUUGAUCAAGAAGCGCAGAUAUCUUUGACUCGAGCGUGGGGUAAUGAGAGGAAUUAGCACAAAUGCUCUAAGUAAUAGUUCCUGAUUUUUUUUUUUUUUUCCACUCGCAAAUUAUUUUUUCAACUUGUUUUUUUUGUACCCGUGCAUAAAUUAAAAAAUCUGCUGAAAUUUA